GAUAGGAAUGGAUCUCAGAGGUGCACAGAUCCAAUUUCGUUUUAUAGAUCAGUUUUCCGUUUUCAUAGGCAGUGAAAGAAGGGGUGAAAUGUGCUUUCUGUUAGAGAUAAAGAGCUCUUAUAAUCUUUUCACUGGCUGGCAAAUUCUUAUCUAAGACAUCUCCAAGCUCUGGUGUUUUCAUCUGCUUCUUUAGGACCACCAAACCAACAUUCAGUGGGAGUCAUGAAGAGAUGUGUUAGCACCUUCCAUUCUCAGCCUUUCUGGGGAAUAGGAGCCAAAUCUCUUACAACCAUGAGCUACAUGGCAUUAAUUUGUGAGCAAUAUUCAAUAUGUCAGCCUAGGUUCUCGAGUCAGCUCUGUGCCACGUCACUGAUGAAUACAUGUUUCCACUUGCUGGAUGGUGAAAAGAAUUCUGAAAACACAAACUUCUGGAGAAAUAUUUCAAGUACCCAAACACGUGUACCCAUUUACUCCCUCAACCCAGGACUAGAGCACUAGGCCUACUUGACCCCAAUAGCAGAGCACUCUUUCUUGUUGAGCCCUCUUGCGUUCUGAUCAGCCUUCACAGCUCAGAUCUCCAAGCAGCUGCUGAGGUGAAACUUAUUUAGAAUCCCCGGGAUAGACCCUAUUUUUUGUAGCCAUGUCCAAACCAGAUGGGUCACUACAAACCACUGUGUAUGGUCAGGCCACCCAAGAUGGCCGUCCUCUGCUCAACCAGUGCCUGCUUCAGCCACACCCCACUCACAGGACUGACCUUCCAACAUACUUGCCCCAGGAGGCAGCUAGUGCUGGUUCUCAUCAAAAGGGCCCACGAGGGGCACGCCCCUCUGCUGGUUUCCCUGGUAACUAAUGAGCCCACCAGAAGUCAAUUCCCCUAUAACUAGCAGUCUCCCCUCCCCCAGACCGAAGCCUGCUGCCAAGUCUGCUCCGCGGUGGGGUGUCUCUCCAGGACGUGGCUUCAGACAGGGGCCCAAGGAAGGCCACAUAUGCAGGAGCAGAGUGAUCCUGAUUUUAACAGAUUUCUCUGUCUGAGUGUAUUAUUGGAACCUCUAACUCUCGAACUACCUCGAAAAUAUCUGUCAAAGACUAUUCUAAAGAAAACCUUCUGGAUCUUAUGAUUUCAGCAAAGGGCUGACAGCAGAGAAAGUCUGGAUUCUGUGACGUCCCCUCAGUCCUCCUCAAGAUCCUCAUGUUUACACUUGCAGGGCCUGCACCCCUCUCAUUUAUUUACCUGAGGUUGGUGCCUUGGGUCAAAGCCACCAUCUCCUUGCCAAGCCAAAUUAAAAAGUCAAGGGGAUGCAGAGGUUUGUCUUUACAUGACAUCCAUGCAUGGGACCUCUCAGGACUAAUACUAGAGGAGGGCUUCUGUGAGGCUCUGUCUGUACGCAGUGAGAGGUCCCCUCUGUUCUCCCUCUAGGUCCUCACAUCAGUAUGUGGCAGGCUCUGAGACUCUUCCCUCAUCUCAUCUGAGGCUGAAUCCCUCAGAAAAAGCCUUCCCCUAGCUCCCAAGAUGGAAGUUCAGAUACAGCACAUCUGGGGCAAAGUGCUUCAAACUUCUCAUGGAAGACAGCAGGGGCAGGGCAGGCCUGGAGCCUCCUCUAUUAGUGGUGAGAGGUCUCCUCAGUCCUUCUUUAGGGUCCUCAGCUUGAAGUCUGACUGGGUGAGAUCUCACAUCUUCUGACCUGAAGCCACAGCCCACAGAGGAAGCCUCACAUCCAAUUCCUAAAGCUCUCCAGGAUGGAAGUCUAGAAACAACACAUUUGGGGAUGCUUGGAGCUUCUGGAGUUUGGCCUCAAGGGUCGGGUGGGACUGAGGUUCUCUGUAUAUGUAGGGAGAGGGUCCUUCUGUUCUUCCUCAGAGGCCCCAUAUGGAAACCUCUCUUUCCUGACCUGAGUCAAGUCUUCUCAGAUGAUCCCAAGAUUCCCUCAGACUCUGAUGGAGUCAGGAAACUUCAUCAGGGACCUUGCCCAAAGCUUCUGUGUGCUAACAUCAGGGGCAGGGGGUUGCUCCUUCACUCCUUCCUCAAUGUCCUCCCCUUGAUGACUUGCAAAUUGAAAAGUAUAAAUCUCAAAUACAAAAACAUAGGGCAAAAUUUAAUGACCUGGAAUUAGGCAAAGAGGUCUGAAAAAAGGACACCCAAAAUUCUGGAAAAAGAAAAAUAAAUUGAACAUCUCCAAUGUUUAAAAACAAGAAGUAUUUAUCUGAAAAAGACAUGCUUAAGAGCAGAAAAAGGCAAGCUACAGACUGGAAAAAAUCUUUACAAAUCAACUAAGGAUAUAUAAAGGAAUCUCAAGAUUUAAAAAGAAAGGGAAAAACUCAGUUUUUAAAAGUGGGAUGAAUAUACCUCACUAAAAUUAGCAUACGUAUGUUACAUAAACUCAUGAAAAAAUUUUCUACUUCGUUAAACAUUAGAGACAAGCCAAUUAAAAGCACCAUAACAUGCAACUUACUUUUGUGACCAGAUUAAAAAAUAACACUGACAUUACCAAUUGCUAGAAAGGAUGAAGAACAACUUGAACUCUCAUGAAUUGCCCCUGUGGGAAAUGACUUCAUAAAUUUUUUUCUUUUUUUUUGGGCAGUGCCCG
Non-coding RNA from Sus scrofa (pig), 2585 nucleotides. Lineage: Eukaryota; Metazoa; Chordata; Mammalia; Artiodactyla; Suidae. The record is from RefSeq and is a predicted model, not a curated record.